UACAGAGGGGGCAAGCGUUGUUCGGAAUUACUGGGCGUAAAGGGCGCGUAGGCGGCCUUCUAAGUCGAACGUGAAAUCCCUGGGCUCAACCCAGGAACUGCGUCCGAUACUGGAAGGCUUGAAUCCGGGAGAGGGAUGCGGAAUUCCAGGUGUAGCGGUGAAAUGCGUAGAUAUCUGGAGGAACACCGGUGGCGAAGGCGGCAUUCUGGGCAGUAACUGACGCUGAGGAACGAAAGCGUGGGUAGCAAACAGG
This 253-nucleotide ribosomal RNA is filed under the name uncultured bacterium. RNAcentral's name for it is "partial 16S ribosomal RNA". It matches the Rfam family "Bacterial small subunit ribosomal RNA", at positions 524 to 776 of the family's 1533-position model. The record is from RNAcentral.